RNAcentral lists this ribosomal RNA (307 nucleotides) under uncultured bacterium. RNAcentral's name for it is "bacterial SSU rRNA". It matches the Rfam family "Bacterial small subunit ribosomal RNA", at positions 30 to 336 of the family's 1533-position model. The record is from RNAcentral.
AUUGAACGCUGGCGGCGUGCUUAACACAUGCAAGUCGUGCGGUAACAGGCGUAGCAAUACGUGCUGACGAGCGGCGAACGGGUGCGUAAUACAUGGGAAUCUGCCUUUUAGUGGGGAAUAACCCGGCGAAAGCCGGGCUAAUGCCGCAUAAGAUCUUCGGAUGAAAGCGGGGGAUCGUAAGACCUCGCGCUGAUAGAUGAGCCCAUGCCGGAUUAGCUAGNGGUGAGGUAACGGCUCACCAAGGCGACGAUCCGUAGCUGGUCUGAGAGGACGGCCAGCCACACUGGGACUGAGACACGGCCCAGAC